ACAGAAAGCUCCAUUCAACUUUACCGUAUGCACAUGAAAUUGUAGCACUCUUGUAUUCAUUGGAUUUACAUUAUUGAACGCAUUCACUGCCAUUGGCAGCUAGAGACGUCAAAUAUCAAUUUGAACUGCGAGUGCUGGAAGUGAAUUUGAUCUAUAGAAUGCUGAGCACAAAGUUCACUGGUGCGAAGGCUGUGAGAAUUGCCUGAAUCGUGGCAUAUUUGGAUUGUUUUCUCACAUUAUGUUGCUCAUUCCUGAACAUGAAGUGAAUAACUUGGGUAACAGAGAUAUUAACAGUUCUUUAGAGUAGUCCCACUUUCAGAUCUCCCAAGCAAUUCUUUGAAUGAAACCACAACUAAUGUGAUCAUGUUUUCAAAAGAAUGAGAAAAUCUACUGUAAUUAUAAGUAACUGUUCGAUGAAUUAACAUUCACGUUAGCUUGUCUCCUCGUUCUCAGGAAAGAAUCAACUAGGAUCUCAGAUGACUCGUAUAAUGGGGCAUUUAAGUGCCUUUCCAGUUAUUUGUGGACAGUGGGUUUGAUCUGUGUGAGCAAUAUGAACAUGCUUGCAUGGGUGCAGCUCGUGCUAAUAACAUAAUGACAACACAGCCUUGAAGACGGAAUUGAUCUCCAAGCCCUCGGGCGUUCUUCCCUUGAAUGACGAUAUGCGUGAAACAUUCCUUACAUGUACAGUAUGACGUUGUGCAUUUUGUGGGGUUGAGUGAUUGACAUGAUCUCAUCAAUCGGCAAGGGGAUUCGUUCUGUUAAUUGUCAAAGCUGUUUUUCCCCUCAUUUGUUUGUGUUCGUGACAGCAGGAGAAAUUGUCUUCCUAACAAGUUUGACUGUCUGCCCCUUGACAGGCAAAUGAGGAAGUUUUCUUGUUGCCCUAGGGGAUUGUCCACAUGAUCAUUGUGUACAAAUCACCUGUGCAACAUCAUUGGCUACAAGCUCGUGGGGUUCUGGGUCGGGUCACUAUGGAAACUGUGCACAACUUACAACUCGAAGAACUUGAAGAACACUCAUUUAAACUCCCCAAAAACUCAUUGUGAAGCCUGUGCUAUCGAGAUAUUUGACCGCUGAAUACUAUGCACUCAUGCACAACUGAGGUGAGGGGCACAGUAGAAAGAAUGUCUUUGGUCUGCCGCCAUCAUCAUGCGCUGGAGGCAUGCUUGUGUGAACAAAUGCUGUCACACUUUAAGUGAAUCAUGAGAGAUUUGAGCACGGGGCUACACAGAAAUGUAAGCAUGCUGUUACUUGAGAAUAAUAGGACUCCAAAUACAAGUGAAAAGAAGUCCUCCCAACAAUUGCUUGAGUAAGAAAAGAACUGGUUUAACCGGUAACUUCUGAAUUAUUUAUUUAAUCGGCCCAUGAACAGCAAAUAAAAGAAAAAGAACUAAAUCAAAUAUGAAUGUGCAAAUUCAGAUAUUGCUGAGCAAUGUCACUUCAUCAAAAGCAUCAGACAAAUCUUUAUUAAACAACAAACGAUAAAUAAAAUCUUUAGGAAAUAACAACUUACAGCAAAUUCAGCUCCAAGAAAUCGUCCUGUACUAUUUUGUUUAACGAACUAAAAGGCUCCGUGGAACAAACCUACAGGGCAAUCGAAAAAGUCAACACAUCCCCUGAUUACAUGUCAGGAUGUAAAAAAUGAAACAUUAGACCAAGAGAAAUCAUUUUAAAACCUUUUCCAGCAUUUAAUGUGACCUAAAAACUGUACAACUCAAUUGAAUUUUCUUUGUAAUCUCUUCUAUCAUGUAAAAUAAGCUGGUUGCACAAGAGUGCAAAAGUAACUCAUCACAUUCCAACUCAUGUUAGAUGGGAGUCCACACACACCUGCCACCAUUCCAAGGGUCAAAAAACCAACACCACAUGCGAAUAGGGCCUUACAGAAACAUUAUUUACUGCAACUUACUGUAAGGCGUUUUCUCAAGUUAGAAGUGGGCAGAAUUGUCCACGUUUGGGCAGCCACAAACAACAAAGCUGUUGUUUUCGGCGAUACCUCCAUUUAGUUUUUCAAUAUGUGUCACUUUGGCAGGUCCGUGAAGAGUUUGUGCGGCCAUGUGAGUUGCUCAUGCCGUUUAUUGGUGAACUGGAGAAACACAUCGCCCAAUGAAGAAGCCUUGCCGACAAAACAAAAACAAAUAGAUCGCGCAAGCAGUCUAAGGAUCUGAAACUGGCCAAUGUUCACAAUAUUUCUGUGUUGUGUGUUGGUCACAAAGUUAAGAAAGAGGCUGAUGUUGCUCCCACUUUGUCCUCUAACAAAGUUAGGUGACAUCUCAGCUUCACCAUGUUCGAAGCGGCCUUUGUGCCGUUGUGUUUGGAUUGCACAAAGUGGUUUACAAUCAGUUAGUGGCACUUGGCUAAAAAGAAUCUCAAGCUGGCUGUCGCACUGUUGUCGUAAAGGAAAGGUCAAUGGAGGGGUCUAGACUCAGAGCCAUAACUUCUGUGGAAAUGUCUAGUGGUGGGAAAAAAGAAGUGACAAGAGAGUACAAUGGGGUACUGAGUUUUUUUAAAUAACAAAAUGUCAUGAAUCAGCAGCUGGACAUCGGCAGUGAUGAGAUUUGGCUCAACUUAAGUUAAAAAUACUUCAUGCCAUGUAAUAUACAGAGCGUUUCAUUAGUUCCAAUACAAUGUAGUAGUUUAAAGUCUAUAACUUUUGAGGGAUGCCUGCUGUACCACUCCAGUGCUAACAGUCAAACUCCUGGAUUGGUACUAGUAUGAUACUGCAAUAGUUGCUUCCUUACCUGAUUCUUCACCCCUCCUCAAAAUGUCAUGGGAAUCUGUAGUAGUGUUUGCGUAAUCCAGUCCACAAAUUUGGUAAUGCUUAAAACGUGUCACAUGUAGGUAGGACUGGGUAUGUUAAAUCACAUGAACUACAUACGUUCUCCUCCGAAAGUAUUUUAACAAUCCUGGUAUGACAUCAAAAUAUUAAUAUGACGUAAGAGAUCAACAUUUAAGCUUUUAUUUCCAGGUAUUUACAUCUGCAUCUGAUACACAGUUUAGAAGAAGGCACCUUUUGUUCCAACACACCCAUUUUUGUAUGUCAGCAAAAGUAUUGGAACAUGUGACUGACUGUGUUUUGUAACCCAGGUAUGUCCUAUGACAGUGAUGAGUAAAACAACACAUCAUGAAUAUUUCAACUCCUUUUCAGAUUUGAGUUUUACUUGUGCAGACUAAGUUAACAGUUGCAACCAACAUACCGUAUUUUCACGACCAUAAGGCGCAUUUAAGUCUCAAAUUUUCUCCGAAAUGGAUGAGUUCCAAAAUCUGUGCAUGCACGCUAGCGUAAGUUUGAAGCUAGCGUAUGUUUUACCAUGCCUGCGCCCAAUAAUGCGGUGCGCCUUAUGUAUGUGUUAAAUACAGAAAUAGACCCCGCAACUGAGACUGCGCCUUUUAAUACGGUGCGCCUUAUGGUCGCGAAAAUAUGGUAAACGGAGAUUUGUCACGAUGGGGGGAAAACAAGCAAUUACACAAACAUCAGUCAUAGCAAGUUCAACCAUGUUGUGUCCUGAAGAAAGAAACCACUAGUAACAGACGUUGAACAGGUACCACAAUUUCUCGUGUAUAAUGCGCCCCCAUGUAUAAUACGCACCCCCAAAGUUUGACCUCAAAAUUCAGGAAAACCCUUCUACCCAUGUACAAUGGAUUUUUACAAUGCAUGAUUUUGCUUCUUCCCUGAAUUAAGCACUUUAUUUGAACACAAUACUUUUUUUUUAACUUGAUCUUAUUUUGAAAUUCACAGCCCUACUUUUAUUUCAUAAAUUAGAAAACACACAGUUGUGCUCAUAUGUUUGAUUACCCAGGCAGAAUUUGUAAGAUGGGUACAAUUCUUGAAAGAAAACAUGAAGGACCAGGCGAAACACUUUUUAUUUUAAUGGGAUUCAAAUUAAACAGUCAAGCAUUUCAGAAAAGCAUUAUCAUUUACAGAAAACAUAACCAUGAAGAAAUGAAUGAUGGUUUUUGUUCAGUCAUAUUAAAAAAAAAAUAUAUAUAUAUAUAUAUUUCACAAAUUCUGCCAGGGUAUGUAAACUUAUAGGCACAACUGUACAUAUAUGCAGUCCUAUGUACCCCGUGUCAUAUAGGAAUGAAAGUGGAGGCCACACCAUUUUUUUUCUCCGAGUUACUCACGGGAGCAGCGAUGCAGUCUUUGGCGCAUGGAGGCUGAGGCGGCGCAGCAUAGGGAAGCAAGCCGGCAUCCAGGUGAAAUCCGCAAGAGAGGAUACAGAUUGGCGUUUCAGUCGAUCCACCUCGCAAAUCUACGCUCCCUACCCAACAAAAUGGAUGAGCUUCAUCUUCUGAUAAAGACCAGUAAAGACUUCGGACGUUCCGCCGCCAUGUGCUUUACGGAGACUUGGCUUUGUGAGGCUGUACCCGAUGGCGCCGUCAUGCUUCCCAGCUUCCAUCUUCACCGGGCAGACCGCGACAUGGAAUCAUCGGGGAAAACAAAAGGCGGCGGGAUAUGCUUCUAUAUCAAGGAAAAAUGGUGCACGGACGUCACGGAGCUCAGCACGCACUGCAGCCCGCAUUUAGAGUCGCUGGUUUUUGAACUGGAAGCCAUUCUACUCUCCUCAUUUGAAAAGGACACUUUCAGACGCCGCACCCACCCAGCCGCACCACCGACCACAAUCACACCUCUGACUGCUGCGUUAACCAUCCAUGAACAGGAUGUGAGACGCAUCUUCAAACAACAAAAGAUUAACAAAGUGGCAGGCCCAGACUAUGUGUCCCCAUCCUGCCUCAAAGAAGCUGUUGGAAUGUCUGCUAGUUCUAGUUUGCAUGGAUCGGUAGCGCCUACCUGAGGGAAGGAGCUGGAGGAGCUGGUGACCGGGAUGCGGCGGGUCAGAGAGAAUUUUAAGUCUUAGAUAAUGGACAUACUGUAAAUAUUUUCAUUAGAUGCUUUGAAAAGGAGGCGGCACGGUGGGCGACUGGUUAGAGCGUCAGCCUCACAGUUCUGUGGACCUGGGUUCAAUCCCCGGCCCCGCCUGUGUGGAGUUUGCAUGUUCUGCGUGGGUUUUCUCCGGGCACGCCGGUUUCCUCCCACAUCCCAAAAGCAUGCAUUAAUUGGAGACUCUAAAUUGCCCGUAGGUGUGACUGUGAGUGGAAAUGGUUGUUUGUUUGUAUGGCAACCAGUUGAGGAUGUACCCCGCCUUCUGCCCGAUGACAGCUGGGCUAGGCUCCAGCACGCCCGCGACCCCAGUGAGGAGAAGCGGCUCAAAAACGGAUGGACGGACGGACUUUGAAAAGGAGUACAGCACACAGGAUAAUAACAGCAUGGCAGCAAAACCAACUCUUUGAAUUAAGCUGCUUCUCCACAAUGAGGAAAUGAAGAGGAAAUUCUUUUGCAAUUCAUGGAACCAUGAAUUCUGCUCUUUCCCAGAAAUCCUGAAGGAGACUAUUCAGCCAUCAAUUCGUGACUUCAGACUGAAGUGCUCUUGGGUUCUGCAGCAGGACAAAGAUCCAAAACUCACCAGCAAGUCGGCUUGUCCCGAUCCGAUCUUUGAGAUUGGAUAUCGGUCCGAUGUCAGCAAAAACAUUUGUCGGAUCGGACUGGACCUAAAAUGUCUGAUUUUACCACUCUUAUACAAGCAGUCCAUUCAAUGCUCCAGCAGCGCAGGGACGGCAUGCAGAUCCCAGGUUAUCACAACAACAGGUUGCUAAGGUGCUAACAUAUUAGCAAGGAGUCAGAGUGAAUGUUGUUUGCUUAAAGUCGUUUAUUGACACUCCAUUUCAAGUUCACUGUAAAACUAGACACACAUAACAAAACAAUUACACCUAUUGAAUGUUCAAAUACAUCACAGACUUUGCCCUUCGUUUUGGUUCCCAAAAAUUGCUAGCUCAAAGCUAACAGACAAUGAAUGAAAAACACCAUUGACGAGCUAACGAAAAUUAGCAUCAACUUCACGGCACUUAUAUCUCUCAAAAUAAUGAAUAUUGGUAAAUAAAUGCUGUACAAACACAUACAAAAAGGCAAUCUAACAAUACUCUGGCAUAUAUUCCAAAUCUGUGAAAAACUAGUUCUAUUACCAAUAUUCGAUCGUGACUUCGACGUUCUUUGUUGCUGCAUGUAUCUCAUUGGAUGCACCACAUUGCCCCUCAGAGGUCAAGACGUGCACAGCAGGAACAGCCAAUAAAACUAUACCCCAGAUGCAUUGCCGCAUAUGUGUAGAAACCAAAUACUGACAGUAAAAGAAUAACUGAAUUUAUUUUGAAUGAUUUUCCCCGUUAAAAGUAUCAUUUUAAUUUCUUAUUUCUUAUUAUUGGUUUGUGUUUAAUCUAUUCAAAUGUAGAAUAUGCUUGCGUUUAAGUUGAGCAGUGCUUAUGUUGCAAUUGAAUAAAUUUUUGUUAUUAUUACUUUUACUGAAGAUAUUUUUCCGGAUUUUCUAAUAUCCAUCCAUUUUCCAUACCGCUUAUCUCCACUAGGGUAGCGGGUGUGUUGGCGCCUAUCCCAGCUGACUGGGCAAGAGGUGGGGUACACCCUGAACUGGACAUAUAAACAAACAAACAACCAUUCGCACUCAUAUUCACACCUACGCGCAAUUUAGAGUCUUCAAUUAACCGAGCAUGCAUGUUUUUGGAAUGUGGGAGGAAACCGGAGUACCCAGAGAAAACCCACGGAGGCACGGGGAGAACAUGAACCCGGGUCCUCAGACCUGUGAGGCAAAUGUGUUAUCUGCCUGAUUUUCUACUAUAGUUAUUUGUAUUCAAAUCUAUUACAUUCCUUUGUUUAAAGUUCUUUUAUGUAACCCGUUGUUUCAUAAAAAAAAAAACAAUAGGUCAGUUUUUCUCAUACCUACUGUUGAUAUCGUUCUCUGUUUGAGUCAUAUCACUUGAUCAAGCCAAUUCUAGCAUUCCAUACUACAAAAUAAGUAAGGUAUGUGUGAUUAUUGCCGAUAGUGGAUCAGACCGAUAUCAGCCAAAGCUCAAGGCUGCAAUAUUGGUAUCGCAUCAGAAGUGCAAAAGUUGGAUUGGGACAUCCCUAUCAGCAAGUCAACUUGUGAAUGCGGUUUUGGAGUGGCCUAGUCAAAGUCCAGACUUGAACCCCAUUGAAAUUCAGUUAUAUGACCCUAAAAAGGGCAUUCAUGCUCGAAAACCCUCCAUUGUUGCUAAACUAAAAUCAUUUUGCAAGCAACAGUGGGCCCAAAUCUCUUCACAGAGAUAUAAAAGACUCAUUGCCAGUUCUAGAAAACGCUUGAUUUCAGGGAGGCCCAACCAGUUAUUAGGUUUAGGGGGCUCCCAUUCUCAUUUCGAGUUCCUCACAUUCUGAGUCCAUACAUAUCUAUAUCAUUGUAUUUGUGCUUUGAUGCAGUUUUAGAGCAUCUUGUUUAGUUUUUAGCAAGCAUUUAGCUGCACAUUACAACCCCCCCAUGUUUUCUUUUUUUGACGACUGGGCUUCGUCUAAAAUCAGUGUGUUGAAAAUAGAUGCACAAACAUGUAAUACCCUUUUUUCAUGCUGUCAUACUUAGCCAAACAACCUUAAGCUGUGUGUUGAGGAAACUUCGGAAACUUGAUUUCCUGCAUGCGUUGUUGACGGCACGUUACACAGUUUGACUGACUGAAGUUUGGUGGUACAACGCAACCAUUCACCAUGCUGCCAUCGUUGAAAGAAUGUAUUGUUGAAAUGUAUGGACUACAUUAUUUUAGCUGUCAAUUGAAUAUUUGAUUAUAAGAAGAGCAUUUUUAAAAACACAACCCACACAUGGACAUAUUUAGAGUGAGACAAACUUGAAUGCCAAUAUUUGUUAGCUUAAAAGCUAACAAGGAAAGAGCUGUUGCAAAGAGUUAACAAUAGUUCUGUUUGGUUUGUAUGGACAGCAACCACCUUGUUCAUCUACGGUGUUUUCACAUUUAUAGUUCACAUUUUCCUGUGCAGCAAACUCACAGCUUUGUGUCAAAAAUGGGGCAUAGCUGGCAUUCAUUGAUAAACAAUUAUCUAGGCAUUCUACCAGAUUACACAAAUACACAAAUAGCCAGGUGCACUUUCAAAUCAGGACUCAAGUAAAUGUUCUUUAUUUUUACAAAAAGAAUUGCUGCUGAAGAGUUGUUCAGGGUAAAAGAGAGGUGGCAUAAUGAACUAAGGUUUCUAUUCUUUAUCUUUUGUCAUCAAUUACUAGAAUACAGGAAGUCCUCGGUUUACGAACGAGUUCCGUUCCUACGCUGGCGACGUAACACGAUUUUCCGCGUGAGUCGGAUUUCACGUUAAAGUGGAAAUUGACGGCGAAAUACUUCUGUUCUGGGUAUUGUCCCACGUGAUCGUGACAGCGAGCUCAGCGUGCGUGGGCGUGUGUGUCGAUGCGUGAGUGAGACGGGACUGCGCAGGCGUCGUCCGGCGAGACUGCGAAGGAGGAAGGAGUGCGCGCCGGUGCGAGUGUGUACUGUAGCAAGUGUAGUGACGGCGACCGGGGAAGAGUAGCGAUUAGCGGAGGACCCGUUGACGUUGAAUAAAGCCAUUCAAGCAGCGAGCAACAAACACCGAGAGAGAAGAAGAAUGGCAAGCUACUACCACGUACUGGGGUACGUGCUAAGAUCAGAAAAUGUGCCUUUUUGUUAUUGCUUGCUAUGAAUAAUACCUUUAUUUGGGUCAAGAAAAUCAAAGCGGUCUUCAUUUUCCAUGAGCUGCCUUAAUCAGGGCUAUCCGAUUGUUGUCUACAUAAACAGCCGUUGAACCUUUA
Molecule: long non-coding RNA, 8660 nt
Organism: Phyllopteryx taeniolatus (common seadragon)
Lineage: Eukaryota; Metazoa; Chordata; Actinopteri; Syngnathiformes; Syngnathidae
Exons: 2
Source: RefSeq, a predicted model, not a curated record